Molecule: long non-coding RNA, 469 nt
Filed under: Capra hircus (goat)
Lineage: Eukaryota; Metazoa; Chordata; Mammalia; Artiodactyla; Bovidae
Description: lncRNA (ENSCHIG00000002849.1)
Source: RNAcentral
GAGGUGGAGGCUGGACUUGCCUCCAGGCAGUCUGGUUCCUGAGUGCAGACCCUCAGCUCCAGCACGACAUGACCUCUACGUCCAAAGCUGAGAGUUGAAUAUGACCAUGUCUCUGAAAGUUCAGGUUGCUGGAUGGUAUCCUGCACUGAAGCUGGAGGUCAGGGGUCAGAUGCUGUGCGCUGAUAGAAGAAUCUCUCCCAUUUUGGAGAAGGGAAUGGCAAAUCACUUCAGUGUUCUUGCCUGGAGAAUCCCCAUGGACAGAGGAGCCUGGCGGACUACAGUCCAUGGGGUCACAAAAGAGUUGGACACGACUGAGAAACUAACACUUUCACUUUCUGGUCCACCUUCUUCCCUCUUGGCAGUGUGAAAGGUAGGAACGGGAAAGAGGUAGGUCAUGCGCAGCCUUGCAGGGUGAGAAGGGAGCAUCUCCAUAAUUGGAACCAGCAUCACAGAAGUAGGGGCUGUGCCG